Molecule: ribosomal RNA, 434 nt
Filed under: uncultured Lachnospiraceae bacterium
Lineage: Bacteria; Bacillati; Bacillota; Clostridia; Lachnospirales; Lachnospiraceae
Description: partial 16S ribosomal RNA
Rfam family: Bacterial small subunit ribosomal RNA
Source: RNAcentral
ACGGAAGGCAGCAGUGGGGAAUAUUGCACAAUGGGGGAAACCCUGACGCAGCGACGCCGCGUGAGUGAAGAAGUAUUUCGGUAUGUAAAGCUCUAUCAGCAGGGAAGAAAAUGACGGUACCUGACUAAGAAGCCCCGGCUAACUACGUGCCAGCAGCCGCGGUAAUACGUAGGGGGCAAGCGUUAUCCGGAUUUACUGGGUGUAAAGGGAGCGUAGACGGCAUGACAAGUCUGAAGUGAAAUCCCCGGGCUCAACCCGGGAACUGCUUUGGAAACUGCCAAGCUAGAGUGCAGGAGGGGCAAGCGGAAUUCCUAGUGUAGCGGUGAAAUGCGUAGAUAUUAGGAGGAACACCGGUGGCGAAGGCGGCUUGCUGGACUGUAACUGACGUUGAGGCUCGAAAGCGUGGGGAGCAAACAGGAUUAGAUACCCUGGUA